This 774-nucleotide ribosomal RNA is filed under the name uncultured bacterium. RNAcentral's name for it is "bacterial SSU rRNA". It matches the Rfam family "Bacterial small subunit ribosomal RNA", at positions 554 to 1330 of the family's 1533-position model. The record is from RNAcentral.
CUGGGCGUAAAGCGUGCGCAGGCGGAUUGUUAAGCAAGAUGUGAAAUCCCCGGGCUUAACCUGGGAAUGGCAUUUUGAACUGGCAGUCUAGAGUGCGUCAGAGGGGGGUGGAAUUCCACGUGUAGCAGUGAAAUGCGUAGAGAUGUGGAGGAACACCAAUGGCGAAGGCAGCCCCCUGGGAUGACACUGACGCUCAUGUACGAAAGCGUGGGUAGCAAACAGGAUUAGAUACCCUGGUAGUCCACGCCCUAAACGAUGUCAACUGGUUGUUGGGGGAGUGAAAUCCCUUAGUAACGAAGCUAACGCGUGAAGUUGACCGCCUGGGGAGUACGGUCGCAAGAUUAAAACUCAAAGGAAUUGAUGGGGACCCGCACAAGCGGUGGAUGAUGUGGUUUAAUUCGAUGCAACGCGAAAAACCUUACCCACCUUUGACAUGUACGGAAUCCUUUAGAGAUAGAGGAGUGCUCGAAAGAGAGCCGUAACGCAGGUGCUGCAUGGCUGUCGUCAGCUCGUGUCGUGAGAUGUUGGGUUAAGUCCCGCAACGAGCGCAACCCUUGCCAUUAGUUGCUACGAAAGGGCACUCUAAUGGGACUGCCGGUGACAAACCGGAGGAAGGUGGGGAUGACGUCAAGUCCUCAUGGCCCUUAUAGGUGGGGCUACACACGUCAUACAAUGGCUGGUACAGAGGGUUGCCAACCCGCGAGGGGGAGCCAAUCCCAUAAAAGCCAGUCGUAGUCCGGAUCGCAGUCUGCAACUCGACUGCGUGAAGUCGGA